RNAcentral lists this ribosomal RNA (498 nucleotides) under uncultured bacterium. RNAcentral describes it as "partial 16S ribosomal RNA". It matches the Rfam family "Bacterial small subunit ribosomal RNA", at positions 28 to 523 of the family's 1533-position model. The record is from RNAcentral.
GAUGAACGCUAGCUACAGGCUUAACACAUGCAAGUCGAGGGGUAGCAGGGUAGCAAUACCGCUGACGACCGGCGCACGGGUGAGUAACACGUAUCCAACCUUCCCAUAACUCGGGGAUAGCCUUUCGAAAGAAAGAUUAAUACCCGAUAGUACUUAUAUAGGGCAUCCUACAUAAGUUAAAGAUUUAUUAGUUAUGGAUGGGGAUGCGUUCCAUUAGAUAGUUGGUGAGGUAACGGCGCACCAAGUCUUCGAUGGAUAGGGGAUCUGAGAGGAAGGUCCCCCACAUUGGUACUGAGACACGGACCAAACUCCUACGGGAGGCAGCAGUGAGGAAUAUUGGUCAAUGGGCGAGAGCCUGAACCAGCCAAGUAGCGUGAAGGAUGAAGGUCCUAUGGAUUGUAAACUUCUUUUAUAGUAGAAUAAAGUGAUCCACGUGUGGAUUUUUGUAUGUAUACUAUGAAUAAGGAUCGGCUAACUCCGUGCCAGCAGCCGCAGUAA